GGGGAAAAGCUCAAAUUUUAAAUCGGCGCAGGUUUUACCUGGUCGAGUUGUAAUUUGAAGAAGCGUUUACCGCGUCCGGGUCGACCCAAAUCCUUUGGGAUAAGGUAUCAUGGAGGGUGAGAAU
This 124-nucleotide ribosomal RNA is filed under the name Glomus sp. RNAcentral's name for it is "partial large subunit ribosomal RNA". The record is from RNAcentral. Lineage: Eukaryota; Fungi; Glomeromycota; Glomeromycetes; Glomerales; Glomeraceae.